AGAGUUUGAUCAUGGCUCAGGACGAACGCUGGCGGCGUGCUUAACACAUGCAAGUCGAACGGAAAGGCCCUUCGGGGUACUCGAGUGGCGAACGGGUGAGUAACACGUGGGUGAUCUGCCCUGCACUUUGGGAUAAGCCUGGGAAACUGGGUCUAAUACCGAAUAGGACCACGCGCUUCAUGGUGUGUGGUGGAAAGCUUUUGCGGUGUGGGAUGGGCCCGCGGCCUAUCAGCUUGUUGGUGGGGUAAUGGCCUACCAAGGCGACGACGGGUAGCCGGCCUGAGAGGGUGACCGGCCACACUGGGACUGAGAUACGGCCCAGACUCCUACGGGAGGCAGCAGUGGGGAAUAUUGCACAAUGGGCGCAAGCCUGAUGCAGCGACGCCGCGUGAGGGAUGACGGCCUUCGGGUUGUAAACCUCUUUCAAUAGGGACGAAGCGCAAGUGACGGUACCUAUAGAAGAAGCACCGGCCAACUACGUGCCAGCAGCCGCGGUAAUACGUAGGGUGCGAGCGUUGUCCGGAAUUACUGGGCGUAAAGAGCUCGUAGGUGGUUUGUCGCGUUGUUCGUGAAAACUCACAGCUUAACUGUGGGCGUGCGGGCGAUACGGGCAGACUAGAGUACUGCAGGGGAGACUGGAAUUCCUGGUGUAGCGGUGGAAUGCGCAGAUAUCAGGAGGAACACCGGUGGCGAAGGCGGGUCUCUGGGCAGUAACUGACGCUGAGGAGCGAAAGCGUGGGGAGCGAACAGGAUUAGAUACCCUGGUAGUCCACGCCGUAAACGGUGGGUACUAGGUGUGGGUUCCUUCCUUGGGAUCCGUGCCGUAGCUAACGCAUUAAGUACCCCGCCUGGGGAGUACGGCCGCAAGGCUAAAACUCAAAUGAAUUGACGGG
This 893-nucleotide ribosomal RNA is filed under the name uncultured bacterium. Its description in RNAcentral is "bacterial SSU rRNA". It matches the Rfam family "Bacterial small subunit ribosomal RNA", at positions 8 to 917 of the family's 1533-position model. The record is from RNAcentral.